UAUUGUGGCUGAUUAGGCCUGUGCUCAGGUUGAAGGUUUAAGCUAAUGGCAAAGCUUCGUGAACCAAAAUAACUGGGUGUGUCCUGCGAUGUUAAAUUUCCACUGUGUUAUAGCCAACAUCAGCUGGUCGACUUGUUGGUUGUGCUCUAAGGCGUUCCUCAGGGCUUCCUCAGUGCUGAGCAGCCGUUGGCGCAGACGGGUCACCUCCGAGUCCAGAGCCGAGGGGUCUAGCAUCGAGUACCGCCGGUGGUCAGGGGAGGAUCGUUCCCGACCCUGAAAGAACCGCACAAGCUAACUGGUGGGCUGCUCUGAGUACUUCAGAAGCUGCUGAUCUACUACUCUACUUUUCCUCGACUACCAACUGUAGGGUUUACAAAGAAUCCGUGAAGUGAGCAGCAGUUCUCUGGGUGAAAAUGCUUUGUUGAUAUCAGAGCUCAAAGGAAAAUGGCCUGACCACCUGAAGGUGUUAGGUGGGCAACGGUAACUCAAAUAACCACUUGUCACAAUCAAGUCAAACAGAAGAGCAUCUCUGAACACAUCGUGCUUUAAACCUUGAAGCAGAUGAGCUACAGCAGCAGAGGACCACACUGGGUCCCACUCCAGCCUACUUUUGCACAGGCUCAUUAAAAUUAGAAAAACGCUGCUUGGUCUGUUCUGAGUUUCGAUUUCUGCUGUGACAUUCAGAUACAUAUCCAUCCUGCAUGCUACCAUCAGGUUGCUGAUGUUGGUAUGACAGAGUGGACUCUUUGGGUCCCUACUGUUGCUGAUCAUGUCAUUCCCUUCAUGACUGUACUGAUUACCCCUGUCAUGCAGCGGGCACCAUGCCCCAAACCUCAAAUCAUCUCAAACUGCUUUCUUAAACUUGACACUGAUUUCACUGGGAUGUGGUGGGAUUGUAUCAUGAAUGUGCAGCCAACAAAUCUGCAGCAGCUUUGUGAUGCUAUCAUGAACCGAAAGUCUCUGAGCAAUGUUUCCAGCACCUUGUUGAAUCUGUGCCAUGAAUAAUUAAAGGACGUCUGAAGGCAAAAGAUCCAACCUGGUGCUAGAAAGGUGUUCCUAAAGAAGUGGCAGGCGAGUGUAUGUCACAUGCUGAAAUACCAGCUUUAUCACUGAGGACCCUAAUGUAUACCCAACUCUAAUUAAUUAGUGCGGUAGUUCACUAACAUCAUAAUCAUGAAUAAUGUAGGGGCUGCAUAAUGUCAGAAUAAUGGAAAACAACUUUUUCAACAGCGCUGCAGAAAAACACAUUUUCUGAAUGGCUUAAUGAACAAAGGAGCGACCCUGCGCCUCUGCAACGAUGCACUGGCUGCCUUUUACACUUGGGUGGUUAAAUAAUGACCAUAUUAAGCAGAGUGGGGCUUUUUUUUGUUUUUUUUUUUUGGACAGUGUGCACUAAACUCUACCAGACUCUUCAGUAUAGAGAGGUGGCCAUCUGGCAGGUCUUUGUUGGAGAUGAAACCUCAGCCAGCUGCUCUCAGUGACUUCAGGCACCGCUUUAAAGGAGGUGCGGAGCGGCCGUAUGUGCUGGCACAAAGUCAGAUAUUUUCAUAAAGCUUCUGACAGAAGCACGAGCAGUCAUCCAUCACUUUAGAGCUGCGUCGGUGUUUCUGCUUUAUCACUCGGUCGAAUGAUGGUGUGAAAUGUAAAAAAGGUCUGCGAUUCAUUACAGACAUUUUUUUGUUACUCAGGUGAAAAAUA
This is a non-coding RNA of Maylandia zebra (zebra mbuna), 1698 nucleotides long. NCBI's taxonomy places the organism in Eukaryota, Metazoa, Chordata, Actinopteri, Cichliformes, Cichlidae. The record is from RefSeq and is a predicted model, not a curated record.